This 377-nucleotide ribosomal RNA is filed under the name uncultured organism. RNAcentral's name for it is "partial 16S ribosomal RNA". It matches the Rfam family "Bacterial small subunit ribosomal RNA", at positions 527 to 896 of the family's 1533-position model. The record is from RNAcentral.
GUAGGUGGCAAGCGUUGUCCGGAAUUAUUGGGCGUAAAGCGCGCGCAGGCGGUUCUUCAAGUCUGAUGUGAAAGCCCACGGCUCAACCGUGGAGGGUCAUUGGAAACUGGAGAACUUGAGUACAGAAGAGGAAAGCGGAAUUCCACGUGUAGCGGUGAAAUGCGUAGAGAUGUGGAGGAACACCAGUGGCGAAGGCGGCUUUCUGGUCUGUAACUGACGCUGAGGCGCGAAAGCGUGGGGGAGCAAACAGGAUUAGAUACCCUGGUAGUCCACGCCGUAAACGAUGAGUGCUAAGUGUCAGGGGGUUUUCCGCCCCCCCCCUUAGUGCUGCAGCUAACGCAUUAAGCACUCCGCCUGGGAGUACGGCCGCAAGGCUG